RNAcentral lists this transfer RNA (73 nucleotides) under Brevundimonas sp. RNAcentral's name for it is "tRNA-Arg". It matches the Rfam family "tRNA". From Rfam's summary of the family: Transfer RNA (tRNA) molecules are approximately 80 nucleotides in length. Their secondary structure includes four short double-helical elements and three loops (D, anti-codon, and T loops). Further hydrogen bonds mediate the characteristic L-shaped molecular structure. tRNAs have two regions of fundamental functional importance: the anti-codon, which is responsible for specific mRNA codon recognition, and the 3' end, to which the tRNAs corresponding amino acid is attached (by aminoacyl-tRNA synthetases). tRNAs cope with the degeneracy of the genetic code in two manners: having more than one tRNA (with a specific anti-codon) for a particular amino acid; and 'wobble' base-pairing, i.e. permitting non-standard base-pairing at the 3rd anti-codon position. RNAcentral also lists the same sequence under 2 other names. Lineage: Bacteria; Pseudomonadati; Pseudomonadota; Alphaproteobacteria; Caulobacterales; Caulobacteraceae. The record is from RNAcentral.
GGCGCGGUAGCAUAACUGGAGAGUGCAUCAGGUUCGCCCUGAAGACGCCGGGUUCAAGUCUCGGCCCGCGCCU